AGGACGAACGCUGGCGGCGUGCUUAACACAUGCAAGUCCAACGGAAAGGCCCUGCUUUUGUGGGGUGCUCGAGUGGCGAGCGGGUGAGUAACACGUGAGUAACCUGCCCUUGACUUUGGGAUAACUUCAGGAAACUGGGGCUAAUACCGGAUAGGAGCUCCUGCUGCAUGGUGGGGGUUGGAAAGUUUCGGCGGUUGGGGAUGGACUCGCGGCUUAUCAGCUUGUUGGUGGGGUAGUGGCUUACCAAGGCUUUGACGGGUAGCCGGCCUGAGAGGGUGACCGGCCACAUUGGGACUGAGAUACGGCCCAGACUCCUACGGGAGGCAGCAGUGGGGAAUAUUGCACAAUGGGCGGAAGCCUGAUGCAGCAACGCCGCGUGCGGGAUGACGGCCUUCGGGUUGUAAACCGCUUUCGCCUGUGACGAAGCGUGAGUGACGGUAAUGGGUAAAGAAGCACCGGCUAACUACGUGCCAGCAGCCGCGGUGAUACGUAGGGUGCGAGCGUUAUCCGGAUUUAUUGGGCGUAAAGGGCUCGUAGGUGGUUGAUCGCGUCGGAAGUGUAAUCUUGGGGCUUAACCCUGAGCGUGCUUUCGAUACGGGUUGACUUGAGGAAGGUAGGGGAGAAUGGAAUUCCUGGUGGAGCGGUGGAAUGCGCAGAUAUCAGGAGGAACACCAGUGGCGAAGGCGGUUCUCUGGGCCUUUCCUGACGCUGAGGAGCGAAAGCGUGGGGAGCGAACAGGCUUAGAUACCCUGGUAGUCCACGCUGUAAACGGUGGGUACUAGGUGUGGGGUCCAUUCCACGGGUUCCGUGCCGUAGCUAACGCUUUAAGUACCCCGCCUGGGGAGUACGGCCGCAAGGCUAAAACUCAAAGGAAUUGACGGGGCCCCGCACAAGCGGCGGAGCAUGCGGAUUAAUUCGAUGCAACGCGUAGAACCUUACCUGGGUUUGACAUGGAUCGGGAGUGCUCAGAGAUGGGUGUGCCUCUUUUGGGGUCGGUUCACAGGUGGUGCAUGGCUGUCGUCAGCUCGUGUCGUGAGAUGUUGGGUUAAGUCCCGCAACGAGCGCAACCCUUGUUCACUGUUGCCAGCACGUUAUGGUGGGGACUCAGUGGAGACCGCCGGGGUCAACUCGGAGGAAGGUGGGGAUGACGUCAAGUCAUCAUGCCCCUUAUGUCCAGGGCUUCACGCAUGCUACAAUGGCUGGUACAGAGAGUGGCGAGCCUGUGAGGGUGAGCGAAUCUCGGAAAGCCGGUCUCAGUUCGGAUUGGGGUCUGCAACUCGACCUCAUGAAGUCGGAGUCGCUAGUAAUCGCAGAUCAGCAACGCUGCGGUGAAUACGUUCCCGGGGCUUGUACACACCGCCCGUCAAGUCAUGAAAGUUGGUAACACCCGAAGCCGGUGGCGUAACCGUUGUGGGGGAGCCGUCGAAGGUG
Molecule: ribosomal RNA, 1431 nt
Filed under: uncultured organism
Description: SSU rRNA
Rfam family: Bacterial small subunit ribosomal RNA
Source: RNAcentral